RNAcentral lists this ribosomal RNA (496 nucleotides) under uncultured bacterium. RNAcentral describes it as "partial 16S ribosomal RNA". It matches the Rfam family "Bacterial small subunit ribosomal RNA", at positions 29 to 507 of the family's 1533-position model. The record is from RNAcentral.
AUGAACGCUGGCGGCGUGCCUAAUACAUGCAAGUCGAGCGAACAGACGAGGAGCUUGCUCCUCUGACGUUAGCGGCGGACGGGUGAGUAACACGUGGAUAACCUACCUAUAAGACUGGGAUAACUUCGGGAAACCGGAGCUAAUACCGGAUAAUAUAUUGAACCGCAUGGUUCAAUAGUGAAAGACGGUUUUGCUGUUACUUAUAGAUGGAUCCGCGCCGCAUUAGCUAGUUGGUAAGGUAACGGCUUACCAAGGCGACGAUGCGUAGCCGACCUGAGAGGGUGAUCGGCCACACUGGAACUGAGACACGUUCCAGACUCCUACGGGAGGCAGCAGUAGGGAAUCUUCCGCAAUGGACGAAAGCCUGACGGAGCAACGCCGCGUGAGUGAUGAAGGUCUUCGGAUCGUAAAACUCUGUUAUUAGGGAAGAACAAAUGUGUAAGUAACUAUGCACGUCUUGACGGUACCUAAUCAGAAAGCCACGGCUAACUACGUG